ACAGGCUUUCUGUUGGGUAUCCUUACGGGCUUUCCGCAGAUAGCCACCCACUUUAGGAGUGCAGUUGAUGGCCCGUAUAGCCGGCAUUAACAUUCCUGAU
Gallaecimonas xiamenensis 3-C-1 is the source of this 100-nucleotide regulatory RNA element. It matches the Rfam family "Alpha operon ribosome binding site". Rfam says of the family: The bacterial alpha operon ribosome binding site is surrounded by this complex pseudoknotted structure. Translation of the mRNA produces 4 ribosomal protein products, one of which (S4) acts as a translational repressor by binding to the nested pseudoknot region. NCBI's taxonomy places the organism in Bacteria, Pseudomonadati, Pseudomonadota, Gammaproteobacteria, Enterobacterales, Gallaecimonadaceae. The record is from Rfam.